Molecule: long non-coding RNA, 678 nt
Filed under: Manacus vitellinus (golden-collared manakin)
Lineage: Eukaryota; Metazoa; Chordata; Aves; Passeriformes; Pipridae
Description: lncRNA (ENSMVIG00005018342.1)
Source: RNAcentral
CCUUGCCCAGCACGGAGGGAGAGCCGGGCUCCUUCGCCUCGCAGAAAUCUGCCCAGGAAAGAGAACAGAAAAGGCAGAAAGGUGACAUUAGAAGUGAAGAGGAGGAAGAAGAACAAGAGCAGAAAUGGAAAAGGAAAGAGAAGUAGGAACAAAUGGAAAAAGUGAAGGUAGAUCUGGAAAAGGAACAACAGAGGAGAUGGAAGAGAUGUGGCCAUGCACAUGCAUCCAAACCUAUCAAUGUUCCAGCAUGAAGAAACAUAGAUAACAACAAAACAUCUUCUAAUAUAACAGAAGACUAACAACACAGCGUGUGAAGGAGCCAGCAAACUGAUCCAGCACUGCCAGGCAAAUUCUAAACUAAAGUAUAACAUCACAGAUCUUUUAAUCUGAAAUAGGUGCAUAGCAGCAUACUAGAUUUUUCCUAAGUUUAGUAUUGUGUGUAUGUCUACUAACUUAACUUCAUUUUUUCUAAUACUUUCAUCUAAAUUCUGAUUUUUCCAAGUGUCUCUCAAUAUGAAAAAAAUCAGUAUCAACAGUGAUUCAAAGUCAUUAAACAAAUUCAGGUUUUCAACCAAUUGUACCUAGCUUACAGUGAGUUCACGAAGAUGAUAUUCCCCACUUUUCAUAAAGCACUAAAUCCCUUACUGAGCAUCUCCCCUGACAAAAACCUCAGCAUGG